This 316-nucleotide ribosomal RNA is filed under the name Veillonella parvula. RNAcentral describes it as "bacterial SSU rRNA". It matches the Rfam family "Bacterial small subunit ribosomal RNA", at positions 1 to 287 of the family's 1533-position model. Lineage: Bacteria; Bacillati; Bacillota; Negativicutes; Veillonellales; Veillonellaceae. The record is from RNAcentral.
UCAAGAUAUCUUGGAGAGUUUGAUCCUGGCUCAGGACGAACGCUGGCGGAGUGCUUAACACAUGCAAGUCGAACGAAGAGCGAUGGAAGCUUGCUUCUAUCAAUCUUAGUGGCGAACGGGUGAGUAACGCGUAAUCAACCUGCCCUUCAGAGGGGGGACAACAGUUGGAAACGACUGCUAAUACCGCAUACGAUCUAACCUCGGCAUCGAGGAAAGAUGAAAGGUGGCCUCUAUUUAUAGACUAUCACUGAAGGAGGGAUUGCGUCUGAUUAGCUAGUUGGAGGGGUAACGGCCCACCAAGGCGAUGAUCAGCUGA